ACAACUUCUUUCUUAAGUAACCACCAAUGUUCUGCUUUACCGGUCAGCAUAAAGGCUGCUAGGGGGACUUUUUAUUCCUCGGUUAGGUGUAGGAUAGAGAAAAGCUUCUCUAUCUGUAGGAUCCAGGCUUCAACUACUAACGGGUUAGGUCACCUUCAAAGUGUGGUAGGUAAAGUUUCAUAAAUUCUGCUAUGUUGUG
Molecule: long non-coding RNA, 199 nt
Filed under: Carica papaya (papaya)
Lineage: Eukaryota; Viridiplantae; Streptophyta; Magnoliopsida; Brassicales; Caricaceae
Description: long non-coding RNA (CPAP_LNC001842)
Source: RNAcentral